This 336-nucleotide ribosomal RNA is filed under the name uncultured bacterium. RNAcentral's name for it is "bacterial SSU rRNA". It matches the Rfam family "Bacterial small subunit ribosomal RNA", at positions 28 to 370 of the family's 1533-position model. The record is from RNAcentral.
GACGAACGCUGGCGGUGUGCUUCACACAUGCAAGUCGAACGGGGUAGCAAUACCUAGUGGCGGACGGGUGAGUAACACGUGGGAAUCUACCAUUAGAUGGGGAAUAACAGGCCGAAAGGACUGCUAAUGCCGCAUAUGUAUGUGCCUCGACAGGGGCAUAUAUGAAAGGAGUAAUCCGUCUGAUGAUGAGCCCGCGUCCGAUUAGCUAGUUGGUAGGGUAAAAGCCUACCAAGGCGACGUAUCGGUAGGUGGUCUGAGAGGAUGAAUCACCCACAAUGGGGACUGAGACACGGCCCAUUACUCCUACGGGAGGCAGCAGUUGGGGGAAUUUUUACG